This 77-nucleotide transfer RNA is filed under the name Aliarcobacter butzleri. RNAcentral describes it as "tRNA-Arg". It matches the Rfam family "tRNA". From Rfam's summary of the family: Transfer RNA (tRNA) molecules are approximately 80 nucleotides in length. Their secondary structure includes four short double-helical elements and three loops (D, anti-codon, and T loops). RNAcentral also lists the same sequence under 1 other name. The record is from RNAcentral. Lineage: Bacteria; Pseudomonadati; Campylobacterota; Epsilonproteobacteria; Campylobacterales; Arcobacteraceae.
GCGUCCAUAGUUCAACUGGAUAGAAUGCUCGGUUUCGACCCGAGAGGUUGUGGGUUCGACUCCUACUGGGCGUGCCA